RNAcentral lists this ribosomal RNA (377 nucleotides) under uncultured bacterium. RNAcentral describes it as "bacterial SSU rRNA". It matches the Rfam family "Bacterial small subunit ribosomal RNA", at positions 523 to 898 of the family's 1533-position model. The record is from RNAcentral.
AUACGUAGGUGGCGAGCGUUGUCCGGAAUUACUGGGUGUAAAGGGCGUGUAGGCGGGGAUGUAAGUCAGAUGUGAAAGCCCAAGGCUUAACUUUGGGAUUGCAUCUGAAACUAUGUUUCUUGAGUACUGUAGAGGAAAGUGGAAUUCCCAGUGUAGCGGUGAAAUGCGUAGAGAUUGGGAGGAACACCAGUGGCGAAGGCGACUUUCUGGACAGUAACUGACGCUGAGGCGCGAAAGCGUGGGGAGCAAACAGGAUUAGAUACCCUGGUAGUCCACGCUGUAAACGAUGGAUACUAGGUGUAGGAGGUAUCGACCCCUUCUGUGCCGGAGUUAACGCAUUAAGUAUCCCACCUGGGGAGUACGGCCGCAAGGCUGAA